GACGAACGCUGGCGGCGUGCCUAAUACAUGCAAGUAGAACGCUAAAGGAGGAGCUUGCUUCUCUGGAUGAGUUGCGAACGGGUGAGUAACGCGUAGGUAACCUGCCUGGUAGCGGGGGAUAACUAUUGGAAACGAUAGCUAAUACCGCAUAAGAGUAGAUGUUGCAUGACAUUUGCUUAAAAGGUGCAAUUGCAUCACUACCAGAUGGACCUGCGUUGUAUUAGCUAGUUGGUGGGGUAACGGCUUACCAAGGCGACGAUACAUAGCCGACCUGAGAGGGUGAUCGGCCACACUGGGACUGAGACACGGCCCAGACUCCUACGGGAGGCAGCAGUAGGGAAUCUUCGGCAAUGGACGGAAGUCUGACCGAGCAACGCCGCGUGAGUGAAGAAGGUUUUCGGAUCGUAAAGCUCUGUUGUAAGAGAAGAACGAGUGUGAGAGUGGAAAGUUCACACUGUGACGGUAUCUGACCAGAAAGGGACGGCUAACUACGUG
This 495-nucleotide ribosomal RNA is filed under the name uncultured bacterium. RNAcentral's name for it is "partial 16S ribosomal RNA". It matches the Rfam family "Bacterial small subunit ribosomal RNA", at positions 28 to 507 of the family's 1533-position model. The record is from RNAcentral.